This 270-nucleotide signal recognition particle RNA is filed under the name Candidatus Woesearchaeota archaeon. RNAcentral describes it as "signal recognition particle sRNA". It matches the Rfam family "Archaeal signal recognition particle RNA". The record is from RNAcentral. Lineage: Archaea; Nanobdellati; Candidatus Woesearchaeota.
GGACAGGCUAUGCCGGGAGGCUAGCUCUCUCCUGUUACCGAAAAUGAGCUUUGUCGGGGCAGAAGCUGGCAAGCGGUGCCGCAUGGCUGCACUGGUCCUGUUGGUGCCUAUGAAUUUCUGUCCUGCAGGACGGGUCCGUCGGGGAACCGUGUCAGGUCGGGAACGAAGCAGCACUCACCUUUCGAAUCAGUGCUUGCGGGGAAGCGGAAAGGAGAAGCCCACAGGGACGCUGGUGCAGUUGUUCCGCAUCCAUUGCUGGUGUGCCUGUCC